UACGAAGGGGGCUAGCGUUGCUCGGAAUCACUGGGCGUAAAGGGCGCGUAGGCGGCCAUUCAAGUCAGGGGUGAAAGCCCAAGGCUCAACCUUGGAAUUGCCUUUGAUACUGUUUGGCUUGAGACCGGAAGAGGUUAGUGGAACUGCGAGUGUAGAGGUGAAAUUCGUAGAUAUUCGCAAGAACACCAGUGGCGAAGGCGGCUAACUGGUCCGGUUCUGACGCUGAGGCGCGAAAGCGUGGGGAGCAAACAGG
RNAcentral lists this ribosomal RNA (253 nucleotides) under uncultured bacterium. Its description in RNAcentral is "partial 16S ribosomal RNA". It matches the Rfam family "Bacterial small subunit ribosomal RNA", at positions 524 to 776 of the family's 1533-position model. The record is from RNAcentral.